UAUAAUACACAUCUGAAAGUUAUAUAAUGUUAUAAUCCAAUGUUACUGCUAUAAAAAUGAAAAUUUAAAUUAAAAAAAGGAUGUCUCGAUUAAUCAAACCACCUAAAAUUCUUGUUAUAUAAUUAAUGAUGAAAUCAAAUUAACUCAUUUAUUCACUCAACAUGUUGAACAUGAUGCUAAGCACAGAGAUAUAUGGGUAAUGAAAACAAUUUCCUAUGCUUGAGUUGUCCACAACUAGAGGAACAAAUUCUCUAGAUUUCAGUAAGUACAAUUUGAUAAGACUUGUGCUACAAGGACUUUACUGCUGAGUUGCAUUUGUGAGUAUCCAAAGCUUUUCAUACCCCCAUUUAAACCUUAUGUUAACCUGGAGAGGUUUAUUGUAUCAUAGGUUUUAUAGAUGAGCCUAUAAACCCAAGGAUUAGCUCUAUAUUUAAAUACAGUUCAAAUAAAAAUGGUCUUCCUGUUGUGUAGACCACAGGUUUUAGAGAGGGUGAGUCAUGGAUUUAUGGAAAUUAAAACAUUUAAUCAAGGUUCCUAGGUAUCUUAGUGCCAGGAAUGACACUAGAAACUUAGUUUUCUGCUUGGUCCUAGGUGUUUUUCUACUAUCCCAUAAUCCUCCUUGUUAAUUUUUGAAUGGCAUUCUGGGUCACAAAAUAUUGGCCAAAGGAUCUUUCAAAAACUUUAGUUUAUAAAUACUGAAAUUAGGGAGUUUAUUUAAAUAUUAUACUUCAGAUGAGAAAUAAUAGCUGCUAGCUUUGCAGCUAAUCUCAUUUCUUGUAUUUUCUUUAAGAAAAUAUAUUGUACCAUAUUAUUCUGGUGGAAUAGAUUUUGUUUUGAGAAAGGAUAAUCCUACAGGGCUUCUUUCGAUGACAUUUGUAAAAGCUCUUCAGAUUUUCCAAAAAAGUUACAUACCAUCUAUAUAUUAAUUACUAAAACACAGCAAGGGAUCAAAUUUCCCCCUUAAACAUAUAUAAGUACUUGGCUUGGAGAGCCCAAAAUAUAAAAAUCCAAAACCAUAAACUAGGAGAUAGUAUUUCACAUUAUAAGGAAUUUUUUAUUUUAUAGGGAGGCUCACCAGAGGAAUCUUUCUUUAAGAGGUUUAAUGAUCUAUAAGUAAGCACUUAAAUUUAAUGAGAAUGGCUUAUUAUUUUGCAGGUAAAAUAUAGAAAAGAAAAUUUUAAAGUAGUGGUGUUAGUAGCUAUUGACGAUUGGUAAAGUCAAUCAAAUUAGAGUUGAAUGGAUAUGUGUGAGACUUACAUACAGCUUUUUUUCAAUGGUUUAUACUACCUUAAUGAGGCAAAAUUUUAUUUAUGAAAGUGAAAGGCAAGAAUUCAAGAUCUCAAAGGGAAAUAGUAAUUUAUCCUUUCAAAAUCACAAAUGCGUGUUGGGAAUGCUCUAAGUAGUUUAAAACUUCCUAGCUUUUCCUGAAAUUCAUAAAUCAGAUUACUUUGAUCUAGGAGUACAAAAUAAACGGAGAUUGGAAAAGGAGGCACAUUUUUAUUUAGCUUACCUAUCUAAAAGCAUACCCAUCCCAAAAUUCCAUAAUUUCUUGGAAAUGUUUCAGUAAUUCUUGAACAUCUUUGAGGAAGUUGGUUGUUAAAAUAAACUUUAUUUUAAGGACAAAUUUACGUACAAAACACUUGGAGAAAACGAAAAGCUGUGUCUCAGAAGAAAUGAAGCAAUAAAUAUUUGAGCCUUAUAAGACUAUUUUUAGUACAGUGGGGAAUCUUGGGAGAGAGAGAGAGAGAAGGCGAGAGACAAACAGAGGCAGAGAGAGAAACGAGGGGAAGGAGGGGGAGAGAGAGGGAAAGAAUAACAUCAGAGUGCCAGCAUAACACGUUAAAAUGCACCUAUCUAUUUGUUUAGUCAUGGAAGCAACAUGCCCAAAAUACGGAAUUUAAGACAUGAAAAUGUGCAUCGUGUAACGUCUCCCCCCACCUUUCCUCAUCUACGUGGCUCUCUCUGCCAUCCCCUUCUCCAGGCGUGGUGCCUCGAAGAUUUCACUUUUAAGCAUGAAAUUGGAUUUAGAGUGAGCUAGAUGUCUUUUACCAUAUUCAGUAAGUAUCAAUUUAUGAAUAUGCAGACGAAUUUUAGCAACAAUAAUUAUGGGGUUUUUAUAAUAGAAGAAAUAAUCAAAUACAAUUUUCUUUAAUGUGACCAAUUUUAUAAAUUUUACUGUUCUUUCCCAUCCUUUUAGUUAUACUAUUUUGUAUCACUAUUUUAGCCAUCUUUUUUAUUAUUAAUAGUUGAAUAAAGAGGUGCUGAAUGUUCUCGGACUUGAUAGUAUCAAGCGAUUCCUGGCGUGAAGCAAGACCUGGAAUGGCCAGACAGUCUUCCAGGUUUUAGAGUUUUUCACAAUCUGAAGACUCAUUUUUUCUCUCACAGAGGAUGACUGCUUUCUGCAAAUAUGACUUCUCUGUGUAGUUCUUUGGGUCACCCAGCCCUCCCUGAAUCAAAGUGCUGGAACCCACCUCCCUGCUCACCCAAGUUUCUUCAACAUUAUUGAAAUAUAGAUACUCUCCUGACCCUUCUCCCCGUGUGUGUGUGUGUGUGUGUGUGUGUGUUGCUCGCACUUUCUUGGAGUUGCCAGUUCUGGAACGUCUCAUUAUUUCUCCUCUAUUUCUCCUCUUCAUGUCUUUAUCCAUGACUUUCAAACAUUUCGCUCUUAAGCGUAUUUUUCCCCUGAAGAGUAUGUCUCAUGUUUGGAUGAAAAUAAUCCUUUGAGUCAGAGAGGGGAGAGGGUAAGAUUUUUUUUUCUUAUUGAUUUUUUACAAUAUUCAAGAAUAAACAGAAAAAAAAUCUGUUUACAGCAGCCAUGCUCAUAUACCAGAAAUCUCAUUUUUCAUUGAAUUAGAAUUAAGUUUAGGUUAAUUUUUCGACCUAUUGAAUCUCAUUUUUAAAAUCUAGAAGCCAGUUUUUCUCCGACUUUCUAGAGAAUUAAUUUCGAUCCAAUACACACAUGAUUUGGUUCUUUCACAUUCAUUAGUUGCCAAGAGAUGUCUGAAAUGGCACCAAAAAAGCAAGACACUGACUUUCUUCCUUGUUUAUUUGGACCUCAGUUUUUAGUUAAUUCUCCUGAAACCACAGAAUUAACUCAUCCUGAAUAGCACUCUAAUUAUGCAGACUUAUUUAGAAUUUAAAGUAAAUACUUUCCUCAAAUACUGAACAGACCAGGGAGUAAGGAGACCUCAUGUUAAUCCUUUCUCUGCUAUUCAUUUGCUCUAAGAAUAUAAUAAAGUGAUUUAACAUCUGUGCCUAAAACUUAUCAGUCAAAUGAAAAUGGAUAAAUGUAGGCAAUGCAUAUUGAAGUAUUAUAAUAACCUAAAAACCUUGUAUUAAUAACUCAAAACUGGCUUCAAGAUAGGGAGUUUUAUUUUCCAUGUAUAAAUUUUUAAAAAGUCCUAAUCCAGCAAAUUGGUCAUGCACAUAUUAAAAUAGUGUGCAAAUGUACACGUUUAUUUCCACAACUGGCACAAAUAUAACACACCUGGCACAUAGAUAGGGACAGUAUCCUUUAUUUCUUAUAAUCUAAUUGCAAGUUGGGGGCUUGGCUGGGAAGAGAGGGUGUUGCUAAAGCUUGAAAGGAAAAAAAAACUCAUUCUCUUUCAUGUCUUUUUACUACCUCAUAAUAUGAUUAUUCCACAUAGCUCUGACCAGCUCUCUUCUCUUUCAACAUUAAUGAAUCUGAAUAUUUUGGCAGUGGCUGAGAUAUUUGAGAAUCCAAAGAAUUUGUGAAGAAAGUAUAAAAUGCAUUUGAAAAGCUAUGUGGAAGUGGGGCCAUGUGCAUGUGGGUAGGAUGAUAGCAGUGAUGAUAACAGUUACAGCUGAUAUUAUCGAUCGUUGUGUGCUGAGGGCUUUAUAUUCCUGUUUCUUCCAAAGACCUGCUGAGGCUGAUACUAAGAAGGCUAAAGGAAGAGGUGGGCGGGGAGGUGAAAAAGCAAAGGAGAGUGUCUUCAUCAGUGUGGGCUGCUAUAACAAAAGUACUAUAGACUGGGUGGCUUACAAUCAACAUAAAUUUCUCAUAGUUCUGCAGGCUGGGAAGUCCAAGAUCAAAGUGCUGGCAGAUGUCUGGUGAAUGCUUCCUGAUUCAUAGAUGAGUGUCUUUUUGCUGUGUCUUCAAAUGGUGGAAAGGAGUGGGAGCUCUGUGGAGUGUCUUUUAUAAGGAGUACUAAUCUCAUUCAUGAGGGCUCCACCCUCAUGAUCUAAUCACCUCCCAGAGGCCCAACAUGCUAACACCAUCUCAAUGGGUGUUGGGAUUCAACCUAUAAAUUUUGAGGAGGGAACAAACAUUCAGUCUAUUGCAAGACAUAUUGUCAUAUUUGUGAAAAAGGAAUGAAAGAGACAAGAAGUGCAAGGUGAGGCAGAAAGAGCAGAGAACACCGGGUUGAUAUGCUAUUUACAUAGCAUAAUAAAGUCAGCACAAAGCAUUUGGGUUGAUGAAAUGACUCCCCAAACCGGUCACCACCGGCUGGUCUUUGAUCUUCCUGACAGGAGCAGGUGUGAGAGGGAGAGGGGUAUUUGUGGGGAGUAGACGAUGGAAGACUCUAAUAUUCCUAUCAAUUAUUAUUAUAAACAUUUUCAAAGUUAUUGCUAAGAAUUAUAGGUAUACUAAAUUGGUACAUAAAGAAUUUAUAAUUUUUUCAAUGGCUUUUUUCUAAUUUUUAGAACCAUAACCCUGAUCUAUCUAAAGGAUUUUUUUGUUUUUUUUUUUUGUGGGACUCAUAUUAAUUAAGAAGUAUGCCAUUCAAUGGAAAAAAUUA
Molecule: non-coding RNA, 4760 nt
Organism: Equus caballus (horse)
Lineage: Eukaryota; Metazoa; Chordata; Mammalia; Perissodactyla; Equidae
Source: RefSeq, a predicted model, not a curated record